Molecule: ribosomal RNA, 1473 nt
Filed under: Leuconostoc mesenteroides
Lineage: Bacteria; Bacillati; Bacillota; Bacilli; Lactobacillales; Lactobacillaceae
Description: bacterial SSU rRNA
Rfam family: Bacterial small subunit ribosomal RNA
Source: RNAcentral
GAUGAACGCUGGCGGCGUGCCUAAUACAUGCAAGUCGAACGCACAGCGAAAGGUGCUUGCACCUUUCAAGUGAGUGGCGAACGGGUGAGUAACACGUGGACAACCUGCCUCAAGGCUGGGGAUAACAUUUGGAAACAGAUGCUAAUACCGAAUAAAACUUAGUGUCGCAUGACACAAAGUUAAAAGGCGCUUCGGCGUCACCUAGAGAUGGAUCCGCGGUGCAUUAGUUAGUUGGUGGGGUAAAGGCCUACCAAGACAAUGAUGCAUAGCCGAGUUGAGAGACUGAUCGGCCACAUUGGGACUGAGACACGGCCCAAACUCCUACGGGAGGCUGCAGUAGGGAAUCUUCCACAAUGGGCGAAAGCCUGAUGGAGCAACGCCGCGUGUGUGAUGAAGGCUUUCGGGUCGUAAAGCACUGUUGUAUGGGAAGAACAGCUAGAAUAGGAAAUGAUUUUAGUUUGACGGUACCAUACCAGAAAGGGACGGCUAAAUACGUGCCAGCAGCCGCGGUAAUACGUAUGUCCCGAGCGUUAUCCGGAUUUAUUGGGCGUAAAGCGAGCGCAGACGGUUUAUUAAGUCUGAUGUGAAAGCCCGGAGCUCAACUCCGGAAUGGCAUUGGAAACUGGUUAACUUGAGUGCAGUAGAGGUAAGUGGAACUCCAUGUGUAGCGGUGGAAUGCGUAGAUAUAUGGAAGAACACCAGUGGCGAAGGCGGCUUACUGGACUGCAACUGACGUUGAGGCUCGAAAGUGUGCGUAGCAGACAGGAUUAGAUACCCUGGUAGUCCACACCGUAAACGAUGAACACUAGGUGUUAGGAGGUUUCCGCCUCUUAGUGCCGAAGCUAACGCAUUAAGUGUUCCGCCUGGGGAGUACGACCGCAAGGUUGAUACUCAAAGGAAUUGACGGGGACCCGCACAAGCGGUGGAGCAUGUGGUUUAAUUCGAAGCAACGCGAAGAACCUUACCAGGUCUUGACAUCCUUUGAAGCUCUUAGAGAUAGAAGUGUUCUCUUCGGAGACAAAGUGACAGGUGGUGCAUGGUCGUCGUCAGCUCGUGUCGUGAGAUGUUGGGUUAAGUCCCGCAACGAGCGCAACCCUUAUUGUUAGUUGCCAGCAUUCAGAUGGGCACUCUAGCGAGACUGCCGGUGACAAACCGGAGGAAGGCGGGGACGACGUCAGAUCAUCAUGCCCCUUAUGACCUGGGCUACACACGUGCUACAAUGGCGUAUACAACGAGUUGCCAGCCCGCGAGGGUGAGCUAAUCUCUUAAAGUACGUCUCAGUUCGGAUUGUAGUCUGCAACUCGACUACAUGAAGUCGGAAUCGCUAGUAAUCGCGGAUCAGCACGCCGCGGUGAAUACGUUCCCGGGUCUUGUACACACCGCCCGUCACACCAUGGGAGUUUGUAAUGCCCAAAGCCGGUGGCCUAACCUUUUAGGAAGGAGCCGUCUAAGGCAGGACAGAUGACUGGGGUG